This 152-nucleotide non-coding RNA is filed under the name Homo sapiens (human). The record is from Rfam by way of RNAcentral. Lineage: Eukaryota; Metazoa; Chordata; Mammalia; Primates; Hominidae.
GCCAGGUGUGGUGGUGCAUGCCUGUAGUCCCAGCUACUCAGGAAGCUGAGGCAGGAGGAUGGCUUGAGCCCAGGAGUUCGAGGCUGCAGUGAGCUAUGAUCACACACACCACUGCACUCCAGCCUGGGCAACAGAGUGAGACCCUGCUUCAA